Gorilla gorilla gorilla (western lowland gorilla) is the source of this 1109-nucleotide long non-coding RNA. RefSeq lists it as uncharacterized. The record is from RefSeq and is a predicted model, not a curated record. NCBI's taxonomy places the organism in Eukaryota, Metazoa, Chordata, Mammalia, Primates, Hominidae. The transcript is spliced from 4 exons.
UUCGCCGCCGCGGCUCUGACAGCUGCGGCCCGGCCCCGCCCACCAGGCCCGCGCCCAAUCAGCUCCGGGCUCGGGCCACAGCCCCGCCCCGCACGUGCUGCCCUGGGGGUGGGGGGCCCGGGGACUGGGGGCCCGGGCGGCAGAGCCCCUCCUGCCAAUGGGGGCGCAGUCACGCCGGGGCCGCCCGGCCGCGAACGCCCGCGGGGAGCGGGAGAGGGUUUGCUCUGGCUACGGAGCUGGGAGCAGGGUGCUGGUGACCGGGCUCCCGGCACCUACUCAGUACCCUUCACCCAACCCCUGCCUCGGGCGUGGACUCCCGGCGGAGGCUCUGGGAGCCGGGCUGAGGGCUUGAGCCUAGCGUAUUUGGGAGAACUGGAGAGAGGAGUCUCAGAUGGCUAAAGUCAGGGGCGCCAGUUGGAGAGCCGGUGGCUCCUCCGAUACUCACACGCCCGGAUUUAACCAGUUCAGGGAGGGCCCAGAACCUAGACCUCCACCAGUCAUGGUGGGCUGUGUCGCCCACCUCCCCAGGGCAACCCAGAUCCAGCCCCCAACCUACCCCGAGCCCAUUCCUGUGUGGGCACCCGGACCCUACCCUUGCCCCACAGAGUGGCCCGCAGCCCCUGGCGGGGAGAGCCAGGGCUGUGAUUGGGGCCCAACAGAAACAGGAUAUUCAGAAGGGGCUUUCUCUCCUGAGGGACCACAUCUCCAAGCUUCAGACUUCCAGACAAGUCCCAGGGCACGGACGUGACCCAUUACGAACAGGCAGUGAAACUGUGGCAGGGCUGGAGCUGCCCCAGGCUCUCGCAUCAUCCCCGAGGGCUGGAGCUCACUCCCCGCUACAGGCUUUUCCGGACCCCACGUCCACAGGCAGGUGCAUCUGAUGAAGCUGUCGGGCACAGUUGGAGUGCAGUGGUGCCAUCUCCCUUCACGACGAACUCCACCUCGCAUCCCCAGGAUCAAGGGAUCCUCCCACCUCAGCCUCCCAGAGCUGGGACCACAGAUGCGUGCCACCACGCCCAGGUACAGCGCAGUCAGCAGGAAGCAGCCGCCCCCCAGGGCGAUGACAAAGGCGCAGCACAGGAAGCUCUGCUGCAGGCUGAGGAAACGCU